This is a long non-coding RNA of Cygnus olor (mute swan), 2732 nucleotides long. RefSeq lists it as uncharacterized. The transcript is spliced from 3 exons. The record is from RefSeq and is a predicted model, not a curated record. Lineage: Eukaryota; Metazoa; Chordata; Aves; Anseriformes; Anatidae.
UAUCCCCAGCUCAGUACAAAGCUGGCUUCCAACCUCCAAUGUAGUUCUAGGGUAGAGACCCAGCAGGCUAGCAGCAUUCAUAAAUCUGGAUCCAUACAGCAAGACUCGUGCAUACUGUAAUGGUCUAAAGUGUCCUUGCAAGGCUACAGCAGAGUGGAACUGAAGAGCACCUGUGUCCCAGCACUUUUCAUUCUCCAUCAUCCCCUAGAAUUUGAAUAUAACUGGACUGAAGUUACAAGGAAGAAUUGGAUGGAGCCAGUAGGGUUAACACUGAUACUAACAGGAGAUUACUAGCCAUAAGAAAAUUACAGCUCUUCUGAAAGACAGUGCCUAAAAUAGCAGCAUAUCCUUGGCACCAUCAUAGGAACUGGUUAACUGAUGACCCUGAAGAAACACUUGUUUCCAUUAAUUCUGCUGUCAUUAUUUCACUAUUCUCGACUCUUCCUCUCAAUUCUUCUGUCCUUCUGAUCCCAAGACAAGAUGGCAGGAACGUGAGAGAGAACAUAAAUUACAGUAAGCUGUCGGCCAUAUAAUUGUAUUGUAACCUACUACACUGAGAAGUUACACCAACAGAAAUUUGGCAAGGUAUUGGCUGCUAGUUGCUAACUAAACACGGGACACUCACUAGUAUAACAUUUAAAAAAAAAAAAAAAGAAAAAAAGAAAAAAAAAUAGGCUCACUAAAAAGCAACAUCUACAUUACAAGGAAGCUAACAAAAGAAUUCCCUUAUGAUAUUUAGGUUCAGCUGGUUCAUCUUAGGUUCAUCAGCUCAAUUUUCUUGUUUUAUGUAUACGUAUUACAUUUGCAGUUGAAUAUAUUUUUAAGAUCACAAUGCUACAAACCUUUUUCCGGCAUGUAGUUUCGCCACCUUUAGUUAGACAACACGUGACACAAAGAAGUACUUGCUCGAAUUAGGGCUGAAUAUUCUGCUGAAAGCUGGUGAUGUUAUUAGAUCGUGUACUAUAAUUACUUGAGCACCACAGUUUUUAAAUCCCUAAGACAUGAUUUCCUAGGUAGAAGGCAGCAAGUAUGCUUUUAAGUUGCCAGACAGACCAAGGGAAUCAUUUUGCUCCGAAGCGUCUGCUGUAUACCCUGAAUCAGAACAAAUCCUUAUUUCACAAAGACUUCAGAUUUUUAAAGCAUCUCUGCUAAACAGAAGUAAACAGUUUCUGAUUAAACUUUAAAUGUUCCAGUGACUCUACCACAAAGGUAGUAACUUUUAUGUAUUAAGGAACAUAUUGGCAAGAGUUACCAGGAGGGUAAGGUAAAGAUGCCUUUAUCUUCAACAAUUGCUACAGUGCCACAGUCCCAAUUACAGACAUAUUGAGGUUAUCUGAACUGUACGGUUCCAUCUCAACUCAGAUAUUUUUUUUACAAAGUUUGAAUUGUCUCAACACCAGGAAGUCUUGCCCAAAAUAUUUUUCUGAAAUCCAAACUUUUUCAAAAUGCACCUACACAAAAGCAGUGUGUAUCGAUAUACAUUCCAAAUUCAUAUAUUCCAGCGCAUUAGAAGCUAACAGAAUUUAAAAGGCUUUCAGAUGAAUUUUUGCUGUUGUCAUACAUAUAGUCACAGGUGCCACAUAUGAAAACAUGGCCUCUGUGUUAUGAAAGAACACACUUUUGUAAGUUGAAAAAAAAAAAUGAAGUCCUUGGCAUUAUCUUUGAGAAGCCCUGGUUGAGAGGGACAAAAAAGGCUUGGGAACAAAGACUUCAGGCUUCCAGUUUUGCCACCGAUUUAUUGAUAACAUCUUGGGCAUCAGCUGCCUUCUGCAGUUUUCUAGUCUGAUAAAAAUGGGGCAGUCAUGCUUAUUUAUCUAACUUAAAGCGGUGCCGUGAUGGAUUGAUUAUUUGUACAGCACUCUGAGUGCUAUCCAAAUGCUGCUUACUCAUGUUUUCCCCACUAUAAGACUAUACCUUCAUCACUAAUAAUUAACUGCUAAUUACUGUUGCUGAGAAUACGAUGGUGGUAUUUACCACCUUAUUUUUGAUUUCAGUACAGAUGCCUAGUUAAAAGUUAUGUAAAUAUAUGAAAUCACAGUACAUUUUCCUAAUGACCCUGCUAUAUCUGAGUUUGAUCCUAUUCAACUGUGACUAAGGUAAUGAAUAGUAACUAAAGAUGAACUCUUUUCUGUAGAACUACAUAGACAGUUUCCAUUGUACUCUCAACACUUAAAUCAUGAAAUGUAGAGAAGCCAUUCUAAGCAGGAUACAGCUGGGUCAAAAGACUGCUGAUGCCAAUUAUGCUUUGUACAUAAUAAUGCACAUUUUACCUAUUUGGAAAAAAAAUUCACAUUUAUUUACUGUCAAACAGGUGUUAAACUUUACACUGGAUAUUAGUGAUGGGCUCAUUAUUAACAGGUUUACACAAAGGGAUGAAAAAAGCAGAAUUUUGUUGAAACAAUUUACAUUUCAUUAGAUUUUUAUCAUAAAAUAAAUUAAUUACUAAAUAUAGGCAGAAGGAAUAUGGAAGAGUAAUAGUUAUGUUUUAUUUAUCUUUUCAAAGGACAGGCACCCUUUAUUCACGAGAAAGCUUGUGAGAAGUGUCCAGUGUCCCCUUUACCCCCUACCACCCAACACUGAUUAAAGAAUGAACAGGGAAUUGAGUUACAAUCUUUGUUAGCUAUACCAAAUUUGUGCAAGGCUUGGCAUAAUUGGCUUCUAAAAAAAUUUUCUCCCCAAAUUAUGUUUUUGGCAAUAAAAAUUAAAAAAAAAAAGAAUAAAAACUAACUUGU